This 253-nucleotide ribosomal RNA is filed under the name uncultured bacterium. RNAcentral describes it as "partial 16S ribosomal RNA". It matches the Rfam family "Bacterial small subunit ribosomal RNA", at positions 524 to 776 of the family's 1533-position model. The record is from RNAcentral.
UACGGAGGGGACUAGCGUUGUUCGGAAUUACUGGGCGUAAAGCGUACGCAGGCGGCUUUGCAAGACAGGUGUGAAAUCCCCGGGCCUAACCUGGGAACUGCAUUUGUGACUGCAUAGCUAGAGUUUGUCAGAGGGGGGUGGAAUUCCACGUGUAGCAGUGAAAUGCGUAGAUAUGUGGAGGAACACCGAUGGCGAAGGCAGCCCCCUGGGAUAUGACUGACGCUCAUGUACGAAAGCGUGGGGAGCAAACAGG